UGGGGAAUCUUGGACAAUGGGGGCAACCCUGAUCCAGCCAUGCCGCGUGAGUGAUGAAGGCCUUAGGGUCGUAAAGCUCUUUCGCCUGUGAAGAUAAUGACGGUAGCAGGUAAAGAAACCCCGGCUAACUCCGUGCCAGCAGCCGCGGUAAUACGGAGGGGGUUAGCGUUGUUCGGAAUUACUGGGCGUAAAGCGCACGUAGGCGGACCAGAAAGUUGGGGGUGAAAUCCCGGGGCUCAACCCCGGAACUGCCUCCAAAACUAUUGGUCUAGAGUUCGAGAGAGGUGAGUGGAAUUCCAAGUGUAGAGGUGAAAUUCGUAGAUAUUUGGAGGAACACCAGUGGCGAAAGGCGGCUCACUGGCUCGAUACUGACGCUGAGGUGCGAAAAGUGUGGGGAGCAAAACAGGAUUAGAUACCCUGGUAGUCCACACCGUAAAACGAUGAAUGCCAGUCGUCGGGUAGCAUGCUAUUCGGUGACACACCUAACGGAUUAAGCAUUCCGCCUGGGGAGUACGGUCGC
Molecule: ribosomal RNA, 520 nt
Filed under: uncultured bacterium
Lineage: Bacteria
Description: bacterial SSU rRNA
Rfam family: Bacterial small subunit ribosomal RNA
Source: RNAcentral